RNAcentral lists this transfer RNA (76 nucleotides) under Pseudomonadales bacterium. Its description in RNAcentral is "tRNA-Phe". It matches the Rfam family "tRNA". Rfam says of the family: Transfer RNA (tRNA) molecules are approximately 80 nucleotides in length. The record is from RNAcentral. RNAcentral also lists the same sequence under 3 other names. Lineage: Bacteria; Pseudomonadati; Pseudomonadota; Gammaproteobacteria; Pseudomonadales.
GCCCAGAUAGCUCAGUUGGUAGAGCAGAGGAUUGAAAAUCCUCGUGUCGGUGGUUCGAUCCCGCCUCUGGGCACCA